This 254-nucleotide ribosomal RNA is filed under the name uncultured bacterium. RNAcentral describes it as "partial 16S ribosomal RNA". It matches the Rfam family "Bacterial small subunit ribosomal RNA", at positions 524 to 776 of the family's 1533-position model. The record is from RNAcentral.
UACGGGGGGAGCAAGCGUUGUUCGGAUUUACUGGGCGUAAAGGGCGCGUAGGCGGCCACCGCAAGUCGACUGUGAAAUCUCCGGGCUUAACCCGGAAAGGUCAGCCGAUACUGCGGGGCUAGAGUGCAGAAGGGGCAACUGGAAUUCUCGGUGUAGCGGUGAAAUGCGUAGAUAUCUGGAGGAACACCGGUGGCGAAGGCGGCAUCCUGGACCAAUAUUGACGCUGAGGAGCGAAAGCCAGGGGAGCAAACGGG